This 332-nucleotide long non-coding RNA is filed under the name Homo sapiens (human). RNAcentral's name for it is "non-protein coding MIR583HG:31". Lineage: Eukaryota; Metazoa; Chordata; Mammalia; Primates; Hominidae. The record is from RNAcentral.
ACUAGAGUUUUGCUCCUGGGACGGGACGUCCGAGAGGUACGCUCCAAUUUCCAGUUUCUGUGGAAAUUCAAUAGAGAGAUAAAUGUUGUUUUCAUCAAGUGUUUGUACCAGCUAUUAUUUCUUCCUGAAAAACAAACAAGCAAGGCAACAAAAGCAAAUAUCGAAAAGGAGUAGAACAGUUGGAAUUUAUAAUCUUCCUUCUGAACUAACAGUCUCCUGUUCUUUUUACUCUGGCUGAGGUACAAGGAAUCAGGAAAGAGAGGGCAACUGUGAGGAAGGAGCAUUCUCCAGGUGGGAAGGUUAGUAAAAUUAACCAUACAAUUACAGAAUGG